This is a long non-coding RNA of Oncorhynchus keta (chum salmon), 1347 nucleotides long. RefSeq lists it as uncharacterized. Lineage: Eukaryota; Metazoa; Chordata; Actinopteri; Salmoniformes; Salmonidae. The record is from RefSeq and is a predicted model, not a curated record. The transcript has 3 exons.
CAAAAAUGCAAGAAGUUUAUGAAGUUGCAGCCUGGUUUCAUUAAUCAGAGAUUUCAUUAAUCAAGGUGAAUAUAUGAACUGUCUGAUGUAUUUUCUGAAAUUGAACACUUGGGCUUGAUUUGGGUCAGACCUAUUAUUGUUGCCCCCUUGGUGGCAUAUCUCCCUGUAUUCUGAUUAGUCUCUCUUUUUUGUAGUCCAAAAUAGGUUUGGACUGCCCCCUUCAGCACAAAUACACGUUAUUGAUGAUUCACAAAAGGAGGUGGAGGAGGAUGUCCUGCUGGACCUGAUUGAGGCCAGUCCAGACCUGUGCCUCACAAUCUUUCUACAGUCUCACAAUGUUUUCAAGUAACAUGAAUGUAUAGAUUGAUUGCUUUGAUCCAUUGUUUGUGUUCAGACUUUUUCCUGCCGGCUGUCUAACAUCUACUUCGUGCAUAGACACAUUAUCCCUCUCGUCAAGUGAUUUAGACCUGAGAUCUCCAGAAAGGCUAUCUAAAAAGGUCAAAACAAACUCAGGAGAUUUAGCCAUAACUGAUAUUGGAUGUUGAUAAUCCCAUUUCUCUGUUUGGUCUUCAUGGAGAUACUGACAGCAUAAAACAACCCGAAAUUGUUUAACUUUUCUCUUGUCUUAAUAGAUGGUCCGAGAUGCCCUGACUAGUAGACCUGGUGGGUAAGACAUAUUAGAUGUUGAAGUUGAGUUGAUCCACUUUGUUUUAGGUAAAUCGGGACUUUUUGCUGAUGUUUGACAAUGAAACAACCUCUAAAUUCAUUGAAAAGUUGGACACUGUAUUGAAGCCUAAAGUCAUCAAAUUGGCAAAAUCCCGACAACGACCACCGAUUUGUGUCGCCUGCUGAAAACUGCCAGAGAAUGACAGCGAAACCAACUGGGACAAUGAUAUGUCCUCCAUGCUGCUGCUGCUUCAUCUCCUCCUACCACCAGCAGGAGGGACGAGGACCAAGAUCAGUGCCAGCGAUGCUGUGGGCAGACUCGUGCACUCUCAUAAGUCAUGCUGCAGCAUUGAAGACCAUCUUGAUGUGAGCCAUGGUCAACAGCCAUACCUCCUUGCCGUCAGAAGAAGACAGAGCAAGAUUGACAACUACUACAUUGGGGUGGACAAGAGGCUUGUUCACUGCCAGGCAGCUAGUGGUCUGUGUGCGUUUGAACUGUUCAAAAGUCCACUUUGUCUUUAACCUGAUGUAUGUUGAUGCGCUUGUCAACUUCUAUACAUUUGUGCAGACAACCAUCUACAACAUUGAUGUAGACAAAACAAGAGAGACCCCUAGCGUGAUAGUUGUGGACAAAACGUCCAAACUAUAUAAAUGUAUACUACGGUGCUUUGUUGCACAGAA